CGGGCAUAUUUCUUAGUUGAUACGUAACAGGAUCACAGUGCAGAUGCAGUGCAGACACUAGGGCUACGAGAAGGCAGCACUGUGCCUGCUUUCAAGCCUCUAAGUCCACAGUCAGGAGAUGUCCUGAACUCCAUCAGGACGACCCAGCACAGUGGAUGCUCCAACGGCCCAAGAUCACAGCCUGCAGAGGGACCAACCCCAGUCAGGCUGGACUGCCUGGUCUCUUUGUUGGAUGAUCUACACUGUUCCCCAUCCACCCUGUGUGUCCACCAUGGGUUAUUGGUGCUGUGUGUCCAUCGUGGGUCAGUGGUGCUGUGUGUCCAUCGUGGGUUAUUGGGCUGUGUGUCCAUCCUGGGUUAGUGCUGCUGUGUGUCCAUCCUGGAUCAGCAGUGCUGUGUGUCCAUCCUGGGUCAGCAGUGCUGUGUGUCCAUCGUGGGUCAGUGGUGCUGUGUGUCCAUCGUGGGUCAGUGGUGCUGUGUGUCCAUCCUGGGUCAGUGGUGCUGUGUGUCCAUCCUGGGUCAGAGGUGCUAUGUGUCCAUCCUGGGUCAGCGGUGCUGUGUGUCCAUCGUGGGUCAGCAGUGCUGUGUGUCCAUCUUGGGUCAGUGGUGCUGUGUGUCCAUCGUGGGUCAGUGGUGCUAUGUGUCCAUCAUGGGUCAGCAGUGCUGUGUGUCCAUCUUGGGUCAGCGGUGCUGUGUGUCCAUCGUGGGUCAGUGGUGCUGUGUGUCCAGUGUGGGUCAGCAGUGCUGUGUGUCCAGUGUGGGUCAGCAGUGGUGUGUGUCCACUGUGGGUCAGCGGUGCUGUGUGUCCACCAUGGGUCAGCAGGCAUCUCUGCUCAGGGCCUAAGGCUGAUUGACUGUCUGACACCUCAGCAUGAGGCUUCCACAUCUGAGAGAUAGAGCUGGAAGGUCUGAAGUUCUUUGCAUAUGAAGUGACAAAUAUCACUCCUUGCAGUCCAUUAUUGGCCACUAGAAGUCAAGUUUCUGGCCCCAGUUGAUGGCAGGAGGCUAGGAAACGAGGAGGAGCACAUGGGCAUUUUGGGAGCAAUAAAUGUUUCCCCAAAGCCCAGAUCUAAAGGAAGGUGUGGCAAGUCCCACUCUGGGGAGGGAGAAGUAGUAAUUUAGAGCAAAUCUUCAGGGAUUUGGAGAAACACAGUUCAGAAAACUACAAUUCGUGUAACCCUGUUCACAAGCAUGUGCUUCCGUGUGUUCAUUUGAGAUGUAGUGUUAGUCACUCAGUCGUGUCCCACUCUUUCCAACUCCAUGGACUGUAGCCCGCAGGCUCUUCUGUCCAUGGAAUUCUCCAGGCAGGCAUACUGGAGUGGGUAGCCAUUCCCUCCUCUAGGGGGUCUUCCUGACCCAAGGAUUGAAUCUGGGUCUCCCUCCAGGUGGAUUCUUUACUAUCUGAGCCACCAAGCAUGUAAGAUGUAAGAUAACUCCAGUUGUGAUGUGUCCGUAACUGAUAAAGAGAGUUUCUGCGAACCAUUUUCCAGAGCAGUGGGUUCUGUGGAUUUUAAAUUUUUGAAGAUGAUGCCAGGAUUUUGCAUAAUAUUGCUAGGAGGCUUUCCAUCAUGAAGAUAAACUUGCCCUAACUUCAUAAUUUUGCCUGGGAAGAGCCCUGCUUGUAUUCCUCCAGUCGGUCUCACCAAGCACUACAACUCUUUGCGGGGUGAUACUCCUGGAGAUAGACAGGUACACAGGUCUGAGAUAACAUCCUGUUGUGGAGAAACGAUCCCCAUGGAGUCAGAUCUUCUCUCUACUCACACCAGGGAACCAU
This is a long non-coding RNA of Bos taurus (domestic cattle), 1773 nucleotides long. Lineage: Eukaryota; Metazoa; Chordata; Mammalia; Artiodactyla; Bovidae. The record is from Ensembl.